Molecule: transfer RNA, 63 nt
Filed under: Paroster macrocephalus
Lineage: Eukaryota; Metazoa; Arthropoda; Insecta; Coleoptera; Dytiscidae
Description: tRNA-Leu
Source: RNAcentral
UUAUUACUUUGGCAGAUUAGUGCAAUGAAUUUAGAAUUCAAAAAUAUAAUUUUAUUAUAUGUA